RNAcentral lists this ribosomal RNA (499 nucleotides) under uncultured bacterium. Its description in RNAcentral is "partial 16S ribosomal RNA". It matches the Rfam family "Bacterial small subunit ribosomal RNA", at positions 30 to 523 of the family's 1533-position model. The record is from RNAcentral.
AUUGAACGCUGGCGGCAUGCCUUACACAUGCAAGUCGAACGGCAGCGGGGACUUCGGUCCGCCGGCGAGUGGCGAACGGGUGAGUAAUGUAUCGGAACGUACCUUUCAGUGGGGGAUAACGUAGCGAAAGUUACGCUAAUACCGCAUAUUCUGUGAGCAGGAAAGCAGGGGAGCGCAAGACCUUGCGCUGAUUGAGCGGCCGAUAUCAGAUUAGCGAGUUGGUGAGGUAAAGGCUCACCAAGGCGACGAUAUGUAGCGGGUCGGCGAGGAUGAUCCGCCACACUGGGACUGAGACACGGCCCAGACUCCUACGGGAUGCAGCAGUGGGGAAUUUUGGACAAGGGGGGCAACCCUGAUCCAGCCAUGCCGCGUGAGUGAAGAAGGCCUUCGGGUUGUAAAGCUCUUUCAGCCGGGAAGAAAUCGCACAGGCUAAUAUCCUGUGUGGAUGACGGUACCGGAAUAAGAAGCACCGGCUAACUACGUGCAGCCGCCGCCGUAA